This 77-nucleotide transfer RNA is filed under the name bacterium. RNAcentral describes it as "tRNA-Pro". It matches the Rfam family "tRNA". Rfam says of the family: Transfer RNA (tRNA) molecules are approximately 80 nucleotides in length. Their secondary structure includes four short double-helical elements and three loops (D, anti-codon, and T loops). Further hydrogen bonds mediate the characteristic L-shaped molecular structure. tRNAs have two regions of fundamental functional importance: the anti-codon, which is responsible for specific mRNA codon recognition, and the 3' end, to which the tRNAs corresponding amino acid is attached (by aminoacyl-tRNA synthetases). tRNAs cope with the degeneracy of the genetic code in two manners: having more than one tRNA (with a specific anti-codon) for a particular amino acid; and 'wobble' base-pairing, i.e. permitting non-standard base-pairing at the 3rd anti-codon position. RNAcentral also lists the same sequence under 1 other name. The record is from RNAcentral.
CGGGGCGUAGCGCAGCCCGGUAGCGCACCUGCUUCGGGAGCAGGGGGUCGCUGGUUCAAAUCCAGUCGCCCCGACCA